GAUGAACGCUAGCGGCAGGCCUAACACAUGCAAGUCGAGGGGCAGCACAAGAAGUAGCUUGCUACUUUUGGUGGCGACCGGCGCACGGGUGCGUAACGCGUAUGCAACCUACCCAUAACAGGGGGAUAACACUGAGAAAUUGGUACUAAUUCCCCAUAAUAUCAUUGAUGGCAUCAUUGAUGGUUGAAAACUCUGGUGGUUAUGGAUGGGCAUGCGUUGUAUUAGCUAGUGGUGAGGUAACGGCUCACCAAGGCGACGAUACAUAGGGGGACUGAGAGGUUAACCCCCCACAUUGGUACUGAGACACGGACCAA
RNAcentral lists this ribosomal RNA (314 nucleotides) under uncultured bacterium. RNAcentral's name for it is "bacterial SSU rRNA". It matches the Rfam family "Bacterial small subunit ribosomal RNA", at positions 28 to 334 of the family's 1533-position model. The record is from RNAcentral.